CCAGACUCCUACGGGAGGCAGCAGUGGGGAAUAUUGGGCAAUGGGCGCAAGCCUGACCCAGCAACGCCGCGUGAAGGAAGAAGGCUUUCGGGUUGUAAACUUCUUUUAAGAGGGAAGAGCAGAAGACGGUACCUCUUGAAUAAGCCACGGCUAACUACGUGCCAGCAGCCGCGGUAAUACGUAGGUGGCAAGCGUUGUCCGGAAUUACUGGGUGUAAAGGGAGCGUAGGCGGGAAAGCAAGUUGAAUGUUUAAGGUACGGGCUCAACCUGUACAAGCGUUCAAAACUGUUUUUCUUGAGUGGAGUAGAGGUAAGCGGAAUUCCUAGUGUAGCGGUGAAAUGCGUAAAUAUUAGGAGGAACACCAGUGGCGAAGGCGGCUUACUGGGCUUUAACUGACGCUGAGGCUCGAAAGCGUGGGUAGCAAACAGGAUUAGAUACCCUAGUACC
RNAcentral lists this ribosomal RNA (447 nucleotides) under uncultured bacterium. RNAcentral's name for it is "partial 16S ribosomal RNA". It matches the Rfam family "Bacterial small subunit ribosomal RNA", at positions 331 to 794 of the family's 1533-position model. The record is from RNAcentral.